Molecule: non-coding RNA, 3501 nt
Organism: Phasianus colchicus (ring-necked pheasant)
Lineage: Eukaryota; Metazoa; Chordata; Aves; Galliformes; Phasianidae
Source: RefSeq, a predicted model, not a curated record
UUCAGGAAAUGUCCUUAAAAUGCUGCUCUUGCACCCCUUCUAAAUUAAGAGCGGGCUGUGGAAGCCGUGUUUUCUAUUCUACUGCAAUCUUUAUGCUCCUUUUCCUUCCCUUUUUAAAAAAUGAGAAUCAGUUCUCCAGACAGAGCCUGAACAUGUAUUCACUAAAUGACAAGCACUUCAAAGUAUUUCUGGGUAGUCUUGGGAAGCUUACAUUUUAAGUUUUCCUCUUAUUAUUGGAUAAAAAGCACUUGUCAAUGAUUUCCAUGUUGUGAGCAUUUUUCCCCUUUUCCCCCAGUGUUUAAACUGUCUCCCAAUAGAUCUGUGUAUGGCAGAGAAAGGAUCCCUAUGACAUUUCAUACAACUAGAAGUGAAGAUUUUAAUUCAGCUUUCACAAGAUAUGAUUUCUGCAUUCAGAUACUUCCACAUACUAGCAUACAGAUUUUCCAGAGUGAUCUCCAAGUUGUAAUGGACAACCUUUUUCCUGCCAGCAGAGCCCAGAGAGGAAUAAACCAAGACCACCAGCUAAGUCAUUGCGUAAUGUGCUAUGGAUAUGAGCAUUGAAUGCCCUCAGUGGCAAUGACUUGGGACCAUAUCAACCUUUUGCGGGAAUUACCGGCAAAGGAAACUGGGAACUCCACGGCAUCUGUGUCAUACUUCCCUGCAGAUGGUGCCUCCAAAUCUCUUCUGAAGUGGUGCGUGAGAGCAGACACAGAGUGCCUAUCACUCAGCCCUCUAAUGGCAACACUCAGACAACUCCGGGACAGACAGAACACAAAAACAGAAAUAAGGACUUGCAAAUGUGGCUGAAGAUGCCCAGAGAGUCGUGUAUCUAACAGAGAGAGAGAGACAGAUGAUGUAAGCAAAUGACAAAAGUUUGGCCUGUUCCUUUGAAAUGGUUUGACUUGUACUGUGUGGCUCAAUAGUGAUUCUUUAAAAAGAAUACCUGAAAAGGCACUGAUGCUCAGUAAGGUGUUUUAAACUAAUCACAGAUAAAGGCUGCAUGCAGAAGAAGCAGGAAGCACCCAACCCUGUAAAGGCAUGUUAUGUACUCAUCCAAAUUCAUGUUUGAAUACUCAUAUCAUAAAGAGGAUGCAUUCUAAGAGACUACAUUUAAUCUUUUACUUACCAAGAAUAUUUUGUGUGAACUGAUUUUGCUUUUAUUCAAAUAGGAGCGAAUUUCUGGAAAGAUUAAAAAAAUAAUUAAAAUGCUAAACACUUAUUUUACUUAUAGCACCAAUAUAGCAGAUUGUCAGAAGCUUCUUCUACAGAAAGAUGGACUUCUGUUUCAUGGCUGCCAAACAAGAGAAAAAGCAUUUUGUCAAUCAUAUCAAAUGUCUCAGUUUUCAGCACUGAAAUGAUGCCUACCACUGUUUCCCGCUGGUAAUUUUAAAUCAAAAGAUGUGCCUUUCAACCAUUUCUGUGUGCAGUCGAAGUCUGUAUGGCUAGUGUUUAUUUUGACCUUUGUGCUAGAGAGGAGGUGACCAAAAUCUUUAAAAAUGGAUGUUGCAACAUGAGACAAUACAACAGUUUAAGAUGAACGCGUUUUAAUAUCUUUAUUGUGAUCUUUUUCCCCUCAGAGUAAAGCAGCAGCAUAAUAACCAGCUGCAUGAUAAUACUGGCAAGCAAGGCCAUGAAUUUCAACGGCAAACCCUAAACACUGAAUGUGCUGUGCUUUUUAAAGAAAUCCCCUUUUGUACCAGAUAUGUAAUACCCUUUUGUGCUAGAGUGGUUUGCAUAAUAAUAGUUUUUUUUAGUUAUUCGUUGUGGUUUGAUGGAGCUGCAAAGUGAGCAGGGCAGUAACAGCAUAAAAGACAGUUCUCCAUUCUUCUCUAAUUUUUGGAGAUUUUCUUUUAAAAUGUAAAUACUUGUAACUAUUUUCAGAAAAGAUAUCCAAUUAUUAACAUUUCAGAUCUAAUUAUUACUUUUCUUAAUAUCCACCUUCCUAUUUGAGCUCUUCACUUUCAGAAGCAGCAGCAAUAUUACAUCUUUGGUAUUUAUGGGGAACCUCAAGCAUCUUAAUUUAAUUGGGCACACAAUCAUCUGGUGUAAAUCAGUGUAACUCUGUUCAGAGACAAUGAUAGACCUGAAUGAUAGACCCUAACUGCAGAAUGACUUGAUUUCAAAAUCCAACUAAAAUUCAUACUAUAAACCGUCUGGCCCAUAUAGGAGUUGUACAUACUUUACACUGCACCACCGCUGAGAUAAAGAGCGCUAGCUGACUGAAUUCAUCUGAAAAAAUUAACAUCUAGGAUAUACCUGAGUACAAGCAUAAGAUAAAACUUGAAGAAUUUAUUGAUAAGUUUUCCCACGUGAAAUUUGUUAAGAUUCCUCUUGGGCUUUUCAACGUGUUCUGAUCCGGGUAGUAAGGAAGGAAUAUUUCCCAAAGGAGAUAUAAUUACGUUGAAAUGGAGCUCAGUCUUAUUCACAGUGAAAGCUACAGAGAAGGACUAAAACCAGGGGAAGUUCCCCAGCUAAUGUUCAAUAAACUAGGCAUUAUUCUAACAGAUACUAUCGCGGGAUUUUUCCUUUGAAAUCAGUGGAAUUAUGCCAAGUUACUCUAGAUGUGAGUUUGGCCAUAAAUUAUGAACGGUUUUCAACCCCUGGCCUGCAACCACUGCAAGGGACCAUUUCCAAGAAAUCCCUCAAAAGCAACAAAGGAAAGCAAGGCUAUUACGAAUUAGCUUAAAUUCAGAGUGCAGAGAGUUUGUAAUCUCACUGGAAAAUAUUUAGAGGUUUGUGAAUCGAUAAAGGUCAAAAGCAGUUGGGCUAGAUUAUUUCAGAUGAGCUGACAAGAUGGAUUAACAUACAACAAUACAUUAUCACAUGUUAGCAGUGCAAAGAAUACCUAGGAAAAAAAGAAUGCUGCGGAGCCCAACAGUCACUGCUUUCACAGCUCCAUGUGUCAGAGACCAUUACAUAUAGCUACCCUGCAAAACCGAAAUGAAUACAUCCUCAUAUCUCUUAUCAAUGCAACAACUGCAUAUUCCUGUUUACUAAAAUAUCUAAGAUCUGUCUUUGCUAAAUAGAGUAACAAGAAAUUUCACAGCUCCAAAGGGUGAACAUACCAUGGAUUAGUACCAGAGACAGAAAUACUUCCUCUAAAACCAUGAAGGAAGUUCCGGAAUCUAGGUAAGAGAGUAUUGUCAUUAUUAUACAGCCUGAAGUCUUGUAAUACAGAAUCUCACAACACAGGGUUCUGUCGUCUUAGAAAUAUGAGUUGCCUCAUGUCAGCUGGAUACCAGAUACUGUUAAUGCACUGCAGGUUAAGUGACAUGUUACACUCAGUGGUACAGAGACAUUUCAGCUUAGGUCAUUCUCCUUGACUAUUCAAAAUGGAAAUGAAAAAGUCUUUCAGAAGGAAAAUAUUCAGUGGAGUUCUCUGAAAUCUUUUACUAGGAAAAUAUAGUCUGUACUUCGCUUCCUAUGAUGUUACAAGGUGCCCUGAGCUUUGUUAGAAUAAGCACUUCCGCCCCACAGCCUAUGAGAUACAGCCCCUUCCUC